CUACGUGCCAGCAGCCGCGGUAAUACGUAGGGGGCAAGCGUUAUCCGGAUUUACUGGGUGUAAAGGGAGCGUAGACGGAAUGGCAAGUCUGAAGUGAAAUGCCCGGGCUCAACCCGGGAACUGCUUUGGAAACUGUCGAUCUGGAGUGUUGGAGAGGUAAGUGGAAUUCCUGGUGUAGCGGUGAAAUGCGUAGAGAUCAGGAAGAACACCGGAGGCGAAGGCGGCUUACUGGACAAAGACUGACGUUGAGGCUCGAAAGCGUGGGAAGCAAACAGGAUUAGAUACCCUGGUAGUCCACGCAGUAAACGAUGAAUACUAGAUUUUUGCGAUAUACUGUAAGAGUCUAAGCGAAAGCGAUAAGUAUUCCACCUGGGGAGUACGCCGGCAACGGUGAAACUCAAAGGAAUUGACGGGGGCCCGCACAAGCGGAGGAACAUGUGGUUUAAUUCGAUGCAACGCGAAGAACCUUACCUACUCUUGACAUCCAGAGAACAUUC
RNAcentral lists this ribosomal RNA (497 nucleotides) under uncultured bacterium. RNAcentral's name for it is "bacterial SSU rRNA". It matches the Rfam family "Bacterial small subunit ribosomal RNA", at positions 501 to 1000 of the family's 1533-position model. The record is from RNAcentral.